This 253-nucleotide ribosomal RNA is filed under the name uncultured bacterium. RNAcentral's name for it is "partial 16S ribosomal RNA". It matches the Rfam family "Bacterial small subunit ribosomal RNA", at positions 524 to 776 of the family's 1533-position model. The record is from RNAcentral.
UACAGAGGUCCCAAGCGUUGUUCGGAUUCACUGGGCGUAAAGGGUGCGUAGGCGGUCGGGUAAGUCUGAUGUGAAAUCUCCAAGCCUAACUUGGAAACUGCGUUGGAUACUAUCCGGCUCGAGGAAUGGAGGGGAGACUGGAAUACUUGGUGUAGCAGUGAAAUGCGUAGAUAUCAAGUGGAACACCAGUGGCGAAGGCGAGUCUCUGGACAUUUCCUGACGCUGAGGCACGAAAGCCAGGGGAGCAAACAGG